Molecule: ribosomal RNA, 440 nt
Filed under: uncultured bacterium
Lineage: Bacteria
Description: partial 16S ribosomal RNA
Rfam family: Bacterial small subunit ribosomal RNA
Source: RNAcentral
CCUACGGGAGGCAGCAGUGGGGGAUAUUGCACAAUGGGGGAAACCCUGAUGCAGCGACGCCGCGUGUGGGAAGACGGUCCUCUGGAUUGUAAACCACUGUCCCCAGGGACGAAGAUGACGGUACCUGGGGAGGAAGCUCCGGCUAACUACGUGCCAGCAGCCGCGGUAAUACGUAGGGAGCGAGCGUUGUCCGGAAUUACUGGGUGUAAAGGGAGCGUAGGUGGGACUGCAAGUUGGGUGUCAAAUCUACCGGCUCAACCGGUAGCCGCACUCAAAACUGCAGUUCUUGAGUGAAGUAGAGGCAGGCGGAAUUGCUAGGGUAGCGGUGAAAGGCGUAGAUAUUAGGAGGAACACCAGUGGCGAAGGCGGCCUGCUGGGCUUUUACUGACGCUGAGGCUCGAAAGUGUGGGGAGCAAACAGGAUUAGAUACCCCAGUAGUC